Molecule: ribosomal RNA, 314 nt
Filed under: Serripes environmental sample
Lineage: Eukaryota; Metazoa; Mollusca; Bivalvia; Cardiida; Cardiidae
Description: SSU rRNA
Rfam family: Eukaryotic small subunit ribosomal RNA
Source: RNAcentral
UUAAUUCCGAUAACGAACGAGACUCUCGCCUGCUAAAUAGUUCGGGGACGCCUAAUGCGCGUCCCCGCUAGAACUUCUUAGAGGUACAAGUGGCGUUUAGCCACACGAAACGGAGCAAUAACAGGUCUGUGAUGCCCUUAGAUGUCCGGGGCCGCACAUGUGCUACAAUGGAUGCACCAGCGUGUAUCAUACUCGCCCGAAAGGGUAGGGGAAUCCGCUGAACCGCAUUCUCGGUUGGGAUUGGGGAUUGCAAUUAUUUCCCAUGAACGCGGAAUCCCUCGUAGGCGCCAGUCAUCAGCUGGCGUCGAUUCAGU